GAUGAAGAACGUAGCGAAAUGCGAUAAGUAAUGUGAAUUGCAGAAUUCAGUGAAUCAUCGAAUCUUUGAACGCACAUUGCGCCCCCCAGUAUUCUGGCGGGCAUGCCUGUUCGAGCGUCAUUUCAACCAUCAAGCCCUGCUUGUGUUGGGGUCCUGCGGCUGCCCGCAGGCCCUGAAAACCAGUGGCGGGCUCGCUAGUCACACCGAGCGCAGUAGCACAUCUCGCUCAGGGCGUGCGGCGGGCUCCAGCCGUUAAAGCACCCACCUUUCGCAAGGUUGACCUCGGAUCAGGUAGGAAUAUCCGCUGAACUUAAGCAUAUCAAUAAGCGGAGGA
RNAcentral lists this unclassified non-coding RNA (334 nucleotides) under soil metagenome. Its description in RNAcentral is "partial contains 5.8S ribosomal RNA, internal transcribed spacer 2, and large subunit ribosomal RNA". The stretch from base 1 to 120 matches the Rfam family "5.8S ribosomal RNA", at positions 35 to 154 of the family's 154-position model. The record is from RNAcentral.